GGAUGAACGCUGGCGGCGUGCCUAAUACAUGCAAGUCGAGCGAACGGACGAGAAGCUUGCUUCUCUGAUGUUAGCGGCGGACGGGUGAGUAACACGUGGAUAACCUACCUAUAAGACUGGGAUAACUUCGGGAAACCGGAGCUAAUACCGGAUGAUAUUUUGAACCGCAUGGUUCAAGAGUGAAAGACGGUCUUGCUGUCACUUAUAGAUGGAUCCGCGCUGCAUUAGCUAGUUGGUAAGGUAACGGCUUACCAAGGCAACGAUGCAUAGCCGACCUGAGAGGGUGAUCGGCCACACUGGAACUGAGACACGGUCCAGACUCCUACGGGAGGCAGCAGUAGGGAAUCUUCCGCAAUGGGCGAAAGCCUGACGGAGCAACGCCGCGUGAGUGAUGAAGGUCUUCGGAUCGUAAAACUCUGUUAUUAGGGAAGAACAUAUGUGUAAGUAACUGUGCACAUCUUGACGGUACCUAAUCAGAAAGCCACGGCUAACUACGUG
RNAcentral lists this ribosomal RNA (498 nucleotides) under uncultured bacterium. RNAcentral's name for it is "partial 16S ribosomal RNA". It matches the Rfam family "Bacterial small subunit ribosomal RNA", at positions 27 to 507 of the family's 1533-position model. The record is from RNAcentral.